ACAUUCCCUUCCCUUCUGCUUCUGAGUGGAGAGGAUGGAGUGGCAUGGGCAGGUGCCAUGGCCUGUCAGCCACUGGGCAAGUGACUUCGGAGAGGAAAGAUGGGUGAAUUCUAUCUUCAAUCCUAUCUCCAAGAUCUCAUCAGUGGAAGAUAUUUGGGACAAAGAAAAGCAUGAGGAAGAGGAAGAAGAAGAAGAAAAGGAGAAGGAGAGUGUAGACCAAGAGCAAGAGAAAGAAGAAGAAGGCAGGAUCAAGGCCCUUCUCGGAGUACCCAAGCAGAACUCAGUGUGGGGCCUGAUGGCUUGGCCCAGGCCCUCCCCAGAGCAAGCCCGGUGGUGGGAAGAUUUCUCCCUGCCCCCACUCCGCGGACCCUGCUUCUGCAGCUGCAGACUGAGUUCAAAGAUGAGGCUCCACCCCCUGCCCGCCAUGACUUCCUGCCCCACCCCUAAAAGCUUGCCCUCAUUGACAUCUAGAGAAGAGUCUAGCUGGCUAAGAAAUCAGCCUCUGAUGGAGCCUCUAUCAGGAUCCAGACUGAAGACCCCCAAAGCAGUUCCCAGACUUCCUCCCAAGGUCUCCCCUAAGAGAUCUACUAUCCCCAAGAGGGGGCGACAGCAGACCCCAAUGUCAAUGUGGCCUCCGAUUAUCAGCCCUCCCUCCAAAAGCUCUGCUCUUAAAGGACAACACACACCCUCCGCCAAGGAGGACUCCCAUACCCCAGGUGCCUGGGGCAACCCUUUGCCUCAGCUUCCUUCAAAAUAAAUAUUUUUGUUACACCGGCAA
Molecule: long non-coding RNA, 778 nt
Filed under: Rattus norvegicus (Norway rat)
Lineage: Eukaryota; Metazoa; Chordata; Mammalia; Rodentia; Muridae
Description: RIKEN cDNA 1700122O11 gene like, transcript variant 1 (1700122O11Rikl)
Source: RNAcentral